UACGAAGGGGGCAAGCGUUGUUCGGAUUUACUGGGCGUAAAGGGCGCGUAGGCGGAUUUACAAGUCAGAGGUGAAAGCCCUGGGCUCAACCCGGGAAUGGCCUUUGAGACUGUAAGUCUUGAGUGCGAGAGAGGGUGGCGGAAUACCCAGUGUAGAGGUGAAAUUCGUAGAUAUUGGGUAGAACACCGGUGGCGAAGGCGGCCACCUGGCUCGCAACUGACGCUGAGGCGCGAAAGCGUGGGGAGCAAACAGG
This 253-nucleotide ribosomal RNA is filed under the name uncultured bacterium. RNAcentral's name for it is "partial 16S ribosomal RNA". It matches the Rfam family "Bacterial small subunit ribosomal RNA", at positions 524 to 776 of the family's 1533-position model. The record is from RNAcentral.